CAUGCAGGUUCCAUCCUUGGCCUCCCUCCCUGGAUUAAGGAUCUGACAUUGCUAUGAGUUUUGUUUAGGUCAAAACAGCUCGAAUCCUGUGUUACUGAGGUGUAGGCCAGCAGUUACAGCUCCAGUUUGACCCCUAGCCUGGGAACUUCCGUAUGCUGCAGGUACAGCCCUAAAAAGAAUAAAAAAGAAAAAAAAAGAUUAAGAAUCAUAGUGUAGAGAAGAAUAGUCCCCUUAUCAACACAUUAGAGAGGUGUAUUACUUAAUUCUACAAAGAAAAAAAUGUGCAAGUACUUACACAUCAAAAGAGAUUCUUGUCCCAGCCCAUGCUCCUCAGUUCCUAACUUCACUUACCAUUAUUUCUUCUCAUGGACUAUAACACCUCCCUGGGUUUGUUUACUGCUUCUCUACAGUUGAAUGACAGUGUUCUCCAUCAAGGAUAACAGAUUUUAAUCACAGAUUUCAAGCCCAUUAUGAACAUUAAUUAAAUGUCUGACAUCUCUUAACGAGGUAGGUAAAAACUAUUAUUAUUUCAUAGAUGAGAAAAUCAGGUCUAGGCAAGUUUGCUAACUUGUUCUCAGGCCACCCAAGAAAUUAUGGCUCAUUUCCCAAAUCAAUGCAUAUUCUCCUGAUUCACCAUAUACCAAUCUGUUGCAAAAGCAACCUAUUUUGUAAAAUAUUUUAUUGAUAAUAGAUAUGGAAAUAAUCUUCCUUAAGUAGAAACUUUAGAUGAUACCAAUGUUCAUACAACUCAAUACUGAUAAUUUCCUGGAUUGUUUUAUGAAAAAUAAUAGAUAUCCUGAUUGGAGAGGAAAAGCCCCAAGCCAAAAAUAAACCAUUAAAACCACUAUUCAUUUUGAAAUAAAGUGAUUAGUUUCUUCUGUUUAGAAACUUCACCCAAUAUGAGAGUCAGAGAAGAACAAAAUGAGCAUUAGUCAUCAAAAUGCAUUGACUUCACUUUUGCUCUCAAGACAACACACAUUCAGCAAGGACUUUGGUCUUUUUUGAGGUCAAUUUGUUUCUUUGGGAUUCAUGUUGCUUUAAUCAAUGGUAUUUAUGUGUCUGAUCUUAAUCUAACUUUUUUUGUUUGACUAGUCCAUCUGGCUUGACAGGAUAGUGAGAAAAUUUUGAAAAUUCUUUGUGAAUUGUCCUUUUAAGUGAUAUUUACUUUUAUCUGUUGCUUGCUAAAUUGCUACUGGCCUGACAAGGAAAAGAAACAGAAAGAAACACUUGAGCAAAAAUGAAGGGCACAAAUGAGUAAGUAAAUAAUGAGGGGGAAGGGUAAUUUUACCUCUUUCAAAUGCAUGGGAGAUCAUAGUCUUUUCCUGUAUGAAACACUCUAUUUUUCCUAUAUGACAUAGGCACUAAAGAUAAAAUGGGAAUGAUGAUUACUCUCCUGCCCUGCUGAACUUAUAGAGUUGUUAUAAUGAAUUAAAAAGAAUAAAGGAAGUGGAAAGUAUUUUGCAAGUUGUAAGCAUUGAACAGGUGUGAGGUGUACUCUAAUUUCCCUGUACUCUAAAUGAUAAUUCCUUUUAUUUAACAGGCUUAAAAUUUCAAAAUUGCAUAGUUCUGUUAUGGCUCAGCGGGUUAAGACCCUGACAUAGUGUCUGUGAGGAUGUGGGUUUGAUCCCUGGUGUCACUCUGUGAAUUAAGGAUCCAGUGUUGCCACAGGCUGCAAUGUAGGUCGCAGAUGCCUCUUGGAACUGGUGUGGCUGUGGCUUUGGUGUAGGCCAGAGAACUUCCAUAUGCUGCAGGUGGCCUGAAGAAAAAUUUUUCAAAAUUGCCCUUGAAAUUGAGGACUAAAGGAAAGGCAACGGGUGUCAGUUACUGAAAUUCCAGCUGGACAUCUUAAAGCAUGCCCUUCACCUUUGUCCCUCACUUCUAUUUUCUUUUAUGACAUGAAAUUUUAGACCAAAAAAACCAAGAAAUUUUAGAGUAGAAUAGGGCCCAAGAAAUUCCUCAUAAAUACAUCUGAUUAUAAAAAUUACCAUGUGAGGUCAAUUCAAGUAGGAAUUUCUGGACCUAUGAAAUCAUAAUCUAUGAGGGAGACUGUAGAAUCUAUAUUUAAAUAUGCAUCUCAGCUAUUUAUUAUUAGCAAGCAUAUGUAGAAGCACCUUCAUUUUAUAAAGAAACCAAAAUAAAAUAACAGGGAGUUUGGGGUUGGUAGAUGCAAACUAUUUACCUUCAGAAUGGAUAAGCAAUGAGGUCCUACUAUAGAGCACAGGGAACUAUAUCCAGUCUCUUGGGAUAGAACAUGGUGGAAGAUAGUAUGAGAAAAAGAAUGUAUGUAUAUGUAUGACUGGAUCACUAUGCUGUACAGCAGAAAUUAACACAACACUGGAAAUCAACUGUACUGUAAUAAAAAUAAAAUAAAAAAACAAAGUUAUUUGUUCUAAGAAGUCUUUCCUUAAAAAAUAGCAUUCACUAUCUUUGGUAGAUAUUAAUUGCUGGGAUAUAUUCUAGAAUAAGAAACAAUUAUGUAAGCAAGUAUAGUGAAUACUGGGGACUAAACAAAGCUGAAUGCAACUAAUUCUUCCUUGGGAGAGAGAUGAGCAGGAAAACCUCUAGAGACUUUUGUAAUACUGUGCCUGUGGAUAGAGAGCAGAGGACAGAUAUUCCAAGAAGAAAGGAAAAUAUGCAGAGAUACACAGAUGUGCAUAGCAUUUUCAGGAAUUAGGAGUGGCCCAGGGGCCUGGAUUGUGGUAUGCAGCAGUGUAAUGGUGAAAGAUGAAAGAAGAAAGGCAGACUUUGAGAUUUUGAAAGCCUGAGAUACAUUGCUAAAAGGUUUGCUCUUAUAUGACACCAAAAGCACGGGUAACAAGAAGAAAAAUAGAUAAAUGAGACUACAACAAACUAAAAAGUUUCUGUGCAGCAAAGGAAACCAUCAAUAGAAAUGGAAAGACAACCUACAGAAUGGGAGAAAAUAUUUGCAAAUUGUUUAUCCAAUAAGGGGUUGAUAUCUAAAAUAUAUAAGAAAUGCAUAAACUGUAGGAAAGAAAAAAUUAAAAGAUAGGCCAGAAACUUGAAUAGACAAUUUUUUAAAGAAGACAUGUAAGUGGCUAACAGGAAUAAGAAAAAUGUCACUAAUCAUAAGGGAGAUGCAAAUCAAAACCACUAUGUGAUAUCACCUUACACCUAUUAACAUGACCAUUAUAAAAACAAAAUCAACCAAACCAGAAAGUAACAAGUGUUGGUGAGGAUGUGGAGGAAUUGAAACACUUGUGCACUGUUGAUAGGAAUUAAAAUGGUGUAGCCACUAUGAAAACAGUAUGGAGGUCCUCAAAAAAUUAGAAACAGAACUAUCAUAUGAUCCAACAAUCUCACUUCUGGAUAUUUAUCCAAAAGAAUGAAAAGCAGAGUCUCAAAAAGAUAUUUGCAUUACUAUGUUCACUGCAGCUUUAUUCACAACAGUGAAGAAGUGAAAAGAGUCUAAAUCACUGAUAGAAGAAUGGAUAAAGGAAAGGUAGUAUAUGCAUACAAUGGAAUAUUAUUCAGCCUUAAUAAAGAAGGGAGUGCUGUCAUAUGCUACCAUAUGGAUGAAAUUUCAGGACAUUAUAUUAAGUGAAAUUAGCCAGUUACAGAAGGAUAAAUACUGCAUGAUUCUACUUACAUGAGGUAUCUAAAAUAAUCAACUCAUGGGAGUUGGGUGGUCUGGUGGUCUGGUUGUUAGGCCUUGGUGCUUUC
Molecule: long non-coding RNA, 3681 nt
Filed under: Sus scrofa (pig)
Lineage: Eukaryota; Metazoa; Chordata; Mammalia; Artiodactyla; Suidae
Description: lncRNA (ENSSSCG00000062956.1)
Source: RNAcentral